CGGGAAAGCAAAGCUCACUGCCAUAGGAAAUGUCUGUUCUCUAAAUAUGCCUGUCAACACACCCCUGGGACUUGUGUGUUUUACAAGAUACUUAUCAGGGUGUGUGGCUCCAGCUGCCAGUUGUUUGUGUGCUCUUGAAACGGAUUCAUCUGCGAACGGUGUCAAACGAGCGCAGCCACUGCGGGGAUCUGCUGUUCGCAUCCACUUCCGCCUACGCCAGUGCGCUGAAGACGGACGCGUGUGCAACCACUUGAGGGGUGUUGGAGCCAAAGACACGGCAAAGUAGAAGAAUGGAUUUUCCCCAAUACUGAAAAAUGUGGCAGCAGUAGGAGACAACAUCAAACUGUCAUGUGUCACAGGGCAAGAAGGCACCCUUCCAUACCCUCUUCUUCUUCCUUAAUUAUG
Molecule: long non-coding RNA, 405 nt
Filed under: Scleropages formosus (Asian bonytongue)
Lineage: Eukaryota; Metazoa; Chordata; Actinopteri; Osteoglossiformes; Osteoglossidae
Description: lncRNA (ENSSFOG00015025120.1)
Source: RNAcentral